UCCUACGGGAGGCAGCAGUGGGGAAUAUUGCACAAUGGGGGAAACCCUGAUGCAGCCAUGCCGCGUGUGUGAAGAAGGCCUUCGGGUUGUAAAGCACUUUCAGUUGUGAGGAAAAGUUAGUAGUUAAUACCUGCUAGCCGUGACGUUAACAACAGAAGAAGCACCGGCUAACUCCGUGCCAGCAGCCGCGGUAAUACGGAGGGUGCGAGCGUUAAUCGGAAUUACUGGGCGUAAAGCGCACGCAGGCGGUUUGUUAAGCUAGAUGUGAAAGCCCCGGGCUCAACCUGGGAUGGUCAUUUAGAACUGGCAGACUAGAGUCUUGGAGAGGGGAGUGGAAUUCCAGGUGUAGCGGUGAAAUGCGUAGAUAUCUGGAGGAACAUCAGUGGCGAAGGCGACUCCCUGGCCAAAGACUGACGCUCAUGUGCGAAAGUGUGGGUAGCGAACAGGAUUAGAUACCCUGGUAGUCCACACCGUAAACGCUGUCUACUAGCUGUGUGUGUCUUUAAGACGUGCGUAGCGAAGCUAACGCGCUAAGUAGACCGCCUGGGGAGUACGGCCGCAAGGUUAAAACUCAAAUGAAUUGACGGGGGCCCGCACAAGCGGUGGAGCAUGUGGUUUAAUUCGAUGCAACGCGAAGAACCUUACCUACACUUGACAUGC
This 660-nucleotide ribosomal RNA is filed under the name Alteromonas sp. RNAcentral's name for it is "bacterial SSU rRNA". It matches the Rfam family "Bacterial small subunit ribosomal RNA", at positions 337 to 989 of the family's 1533-position model. Lineage: Bacteria; Pseudomonadati; Pseudomonadota; Gammaproteobacteria; Alteromonadales; Alteromonadaceae. The record is from RNAcentral.